UUACACACCCUAUUCUUUUUCUCUUUAAAACGCUCUCCUAUUCAAUUUCCCCCAUAUAAACCUAUUACCAUCUAAUUCAACAGGCCUCGAGUUGUUGUGUUUUUUUAUAAGAAGACGAGAAUAAAUUCCGUUCCACCACAUACCUACAUAUCCUCUUCCGACUACCACCUUCACCCUAAUUUAUAUCCAGAACCUCAUCAAUUUGAUUAUCAUCGAUUUUUGGGGGGUGUAAAAUCCGGAGGGCGCGUGGCAGAAAAUGAUGUUUCUACCAUUGAAGCAACCGUGAUUAGCAGAUCCUUCAUUCAGCGGCUAGGGUUGCACCAUGAACCAGUGAUAGCGUCGAUGUAUUCAUCGGAGUCGUGUCGGCGACUCAUGAUGAACAAUUGAAUGUUAUCAUCAAUCGCGAUCUCAAGCCUAAAUUCAAGCUUUCUCGGUCGCGAUCUGGGUAUUUGGGACAUUGAUUAUAGAUAAUGUGCGGUGAUGAUUCAGUAUCACUAAAUCUCUAUAAUUCUGUCUUAAUUUCACAUUGGGCAUUGCUAAUUUGAUCUCAAUUUC
This 555-nucleotide long non-coding RNA is filed under the name Helianthus annuus (common sunflower). Its description in RNAcentral is "sRNA HanXRQr2_Chr16g0723821". Lineage: Eukaryota; Viridiplantae; Streptophyta; Magnoliopsida; Asterales; Asteraceae. The record is from RNAcentral.